Molecule: long non-coding RNA, 2967 nt
Filed under: Homo sapiens (human)
Lineage: Eukaryota; Metazoa; Chordata; Mammalia; Primates; Hominidae
Description: HSALNT0026643
Source: RNAcentral
UCCCCUGGAAGAUGUAAUCACCAGUAUCGUUAUUGAGGAGGGAGGAGGGGAGAAGAAAACUCCAAACAGCAGAAAACAUUCCUGAGUUCUGUGCGCAGUGCCUUUGAUGGGUGUGCUCAGAUUUUUUUCAUCGAGGUGGUUUUGAAUCAGUUGCAGGCCUUCUUUCAUGUGGGUAACUAUUUAAAGAUGUGAUAUUCGGGGCAAGCGUUUGUACCAACUCAUUUUCUCUGUCUUCUCCCAGGCCGCUGAGGACCGCACAGGGGAGCGGGCGGCGGCAUCGCGAGGACUGACCACUGGGUGGCACUGUUGCUCCAUGGAGAGCUGCCAACGGCGUCCCCGGGGACCCGGCCACGUUGAGCACAAAAGGCAGAGGAGCCUGGCAACCAUGUCCCAAGUUGGAAGGAAGCUCUGAGAACCCUGCUCCCCAGAAAUCCUGAGCAAAGGCUGGCUGGCCUACAGGAGCAGUCUAGAGUAAGAGCUGUUUCCUGGCAGAGGAUCAAGUAUCCAGGUCACAUUGAAGAGACAUGUGAGGACUCCAAUGGAGAACAAUUUGAGAGUGAGAAACCAGUUCUGGAGGCCAGGAAGUUCAAGAUCAAGGUGUUGGCAAGUUCAGUGUCUGCUGAGGACCUGAUCUCUCUUCUUUCAAGAUGGCAUCUUGUUGCUCUUCCCUCCAGAGAGUAGAAAUGCUGGAACCUCACAUGGAGGAAAAAAUGAAAAGGACCAAUGCUAGUUCCCUUCAGCCUUUUUAUGAACUCACUAAUUCCCAUUGAGGGCUCCACAUACAUGACUUAAUCACCUCCUAAAUGCCUGACUUCCUAAUACUCUCAUUUUGAAGAUUAAGUUUCAACAUAUGAAUUUGGGGGUCAUAUUCAGAACAUAGCACUUAUGAUACUAUCUCAAAUCAUAGACUGCUUUCUCGGUGGGCAUCUAUCUCAGUUUCUUUUCUGUUGUUAUUACAGAGUACCUGAGCCUGAGUAAUUUAUAAAGAAAAUACAUUUAUUUUGGCUCAUGGCUCUAUAGGCUGGGAAGUCCAAGAUUGGGCGGUUACAUCUGGUUGGCUCCUGGUGCGGGCCUCCUGCCGCAUCAUAACAAGGUAGAGAAGUGAAAGGGAAGGUGGGCUUGUAGGAAGGGGGCAAAGCAUGAAGGGCAGGCUUGCUUUAUAGAAACUGGGACACAGCACCCCACAGGAUGAGUGUAUAAAGGCUAGACAGACAAGGGGAUUGUUGUGUUGAACCUGAAAAGUCCCCUCACCUGGCAAUGCUCUCUGUUCCCUGUGAGAAGAAGGGGUUUCUUUUCUUCUGGGAUGAUUCAUCCCUUCACCUGUGGCCUUCCCUAGAGCCCAUCCUUGUGCCAUUCUGCUCUCCAGGCACAUCUCUCUCAGAUGAAUUCCCUCUUCCCUCUUCCUCUGGCCCCUCCUGUUUAUUUAUCUGUUUCCUCACCACUGUGUAAUCAGGUAGGCCCCACUGCUGUGACCUCUGGAAUAAUGAUUGAAUCUGCCCUAUCCUCUCCACAGUGAUGCCUGGGACCCAGCUGAGAUCUCCAUCAUCUCUCAAAACAACUGUGCACUGACCUCCUGACCUAAGCCCAGCCUCUGCCCACUCAGACUGACCUUCACGCAGCUGCACAAUGCUGCAUUUGGAAGCCGGACCUGACCACAUUCGUUUCCCUCUGUUGGUCUGAUUGCCUAAAAAAUGAAGCUCUGGGAUAGGUUGCUUGUCUGACACUGUGUUCCUCUCCUGCUCCUCUUGCCACCUCCCUGGGACUCUGCCCUGCAAGAGCAUGCUGCAGCUCUCUGCACAUGCCAUCAGUCCUGUGCCUUCUCAUUUCCGUUAACAUUGCCACCUCCUUCCAGAAUGCUUUUCUGCUCACAUUAACCUGUCUGACUCCCACUUAGACUUUGCUCACAGGGCAUCAAUUCCAAAAUAAAUCGUAUGCCCUGCCUACCUCUUUCACCUUUCCUGACAAACUAGCUCUAGCUGCUGACUGUAGGAAGCCUGAAAAUCAAUAACUAGCUGUCUCAGCUGCAAGAAGGGGGAUAAGGGUUGGGCCAGGGUAUGAGUUAUAUCAAUGGCUUUUUUCUUUCAGAGAUUCAUGUUCUGGAGAAAUGAAAAUGCUGUCUCAGUGGAAUGUUGAUUAGCUGGAGUGGAGACCCAAGAUCUCUGUCCAGGCAGGGCCAUCAACUAGAGGUGGCCCUGUGAUUGAUGAGUGACCAGCCAUGUGUGGAGAAAAGCAAUGUGAACAACUUCUGACUUCGCUGUUAAAGAAAAUUGGUCUGUCCCCCAUUUCCUUGCAUUCCCAUUCUUACUGGCUGAAAUUCAAAGCUGAUAAAUGGAGCUAGAGCAGAUAGCUGGGAAAAUGAGUUGAGGGUCUUACAUUAAGACUUGCCAGCAAGAAGAAGAAUUUUUCCAGGGUUCCUGACACCGCCAAAUUGUUCGAUCAGCUCUGAACUCUAUACUGAGAUUCUUUAAGUAUGAGAGACAUGAACUUUGACUGGCUUAAGUGAGCUAUUGAGGUCUCUUUGCUAUUGUGACCUAACUCAGGGGUCAGCAAAUAACACUCUGUGCGCAAAAUCUGACUACGAUCUGUUUUUGUAACUAAAUAAAAUUUCACUGAAACACACCCAUGCUCAUUUAUUUAGGUAUGGCUGCUUUCAUGAUACCAUGGCACAUUUGACUACCUAUAGACAGUGAUAUGAUGUGGAUCUGUGUCCCCACCCAAAUCUCAUGUUGAAAUGUAAUCCCCCUGUGCUGGAGGUGGGAUCUGGUGGGAGGUGAAAUGGGGGCGGUUUCUCAAGAAUGGUUUAGCUCCAUUUCUCUGCUGCUGUAUUCAUGAUAGUAAGUGAGUGAGUUGUCACAAGAUCUGAUUGUGUAAAAGUGUGUGGCACCUCCCCCUUCUCUCUUGCUCCUUCUCGGCCAUGUAAGACCUGCCUGCUUCCCCUUCACCUUCCACCAUGAUUGUAAAUUUCAU